RNAcentral lists this ribosomal RNA (851 nucleotides) under uncultured bacterium. RNAcentral describes it as "bacterial SSU rRNA". It matches the Rfam family "Bacterial small subunit ribosomal RNA", at positions 53 to 903 of the family's 1533-position model. The record is from RNAcentral.
ACGGAGAUGUUGCAGCAGAAGCGAAUAGCUUGCUAUGAGUGGAAACAGUGGCAUCUUAGUGGCGGACGGGUGAGUAACGCGUGGGCAACCUGCCCUGCACUGGGGGAUAACACUUAGAAAUAGGUGCUAAUACCGCAUAAUAAAAUAUAUUGCAUGAUAUAUUUUUGAAAGCUGCGGCGGUGCAGGAUGGGCCCGCGUCUGAUUAGCCAGUUGGCGGGGUAACGGCCCACCAAAGCGACGAUCAGUAGCCGGCCUGAGAGGGUGGACGGCCGCAUUGGGACUGAGACACGGCCCAAACUCCUACGGGAGGCAGCAGUGGGGGAUAUUGGACAAUGGGGGGAACCCUGAUCCAGCGACGCCGCGUGAGUGAAGAAGUAUUUCGGUAUGUAAAGCUCUAUCAGCAGGGAAGAAAAGAAUGACGGUACCUGAAUAAGAAGCCCCGGCUAACUACGUGCCAGCAGCCGCGGUAAUACGUAGGGGGCAAGCGUUAUCCGGAUUUACUGGGUGUAAAGGGAGCGCAGACGGCAAUGCAAGCCUGGAGUGAAAGGCGGGGGCCCAACCCCCGGACUGCUCUGGGAACUGUAUAGCUAGAGUGCAGGAGAGGCAAGUGGAAUUCCUAGUGUAGCGGUGAAAUGCGUAGAUAUUAGGAGGAACACCAGUGGCGAAGGCGGCUUGCUGGACUGUAACUGACGUUGAGGCUCGAAAGCGUGGGGAGCAAACAGGAUUAGAUACCCUGGUAGUCCACGCCGUAAACGAUGAUUACUAGGUGUCGGAGGGCAUGGGCCCGUCGGUGCCGGAGCAAACGCAUUAAGUAAUCCACCUNGGGAGUACGUUCGCAAGAAUGAAANUCA